Molecule: ribosomal RNA, 414 nt
Filed under: uncultured bacterium
Lineage: Bacteria
Description: bacterial SSU rRNA
Rfam family: Bacterial small subunit ribosomal RNA
Source: RNAcentral
GGGGAAUAUUGGACAAUGGGCGGAAGCCUGAUCCAGCAACGCCGCGUGAGGGAUGACGGCCUUCGGGUUGUAAACCUCUUUCAGUACCGACGAAGCGCCGAUGAUGGUGGUGACGGUAGGUACAGAAGAAGCACCGGCCAACUACGUGCCAGCAGCCGCGGUAAUACGUAGGGUGCGAGCGUUGUCCGGAAUUAUUGGGCGUAAAGGGCUCGUAGGCGGUUUGUCGCGUCGGGAGUGAAAACACUGGGCUUAACUCAGUGCUUGCUUUCGAUACGGGCAGACUAGAGGCAUGCAGGGGAGAACGGAAUUCCUGGUGUAGCGGUGAAAUGCGCAGAUAUCAGGAGGAACACCGGUGGCGAAGGCGGUUCUCUGGGCAUGUCCUGACGCUGAGGAGCGAAAGUGUGGGGAGCGAAC